GCGGCGCGCGCCCGCCGAGCCCUUAAUUGUAAAUUAAGAUUUACUGAUGAUGAUGGGCUAAUUUAAGCUACCGUGGAAAGAGGAAAGAAAUGGAAGCUGCUGAUCGUAGGAAGCAGUACCUGUACUGCGCAAGGUUGCAGUGACCUAACACCAAGAAAUAAAAACUCUGGAAAACUAGCCCUUCACAUAUGGAAGGACCCUCCCAAAGAGCUGGAGCUCCUCUGCCCACAGCCUCCCCCAUCAGACCAGACCUAUGGUAGAAGACAGCAAGGAGUAAACGCUGUUUCCUGUUUUCAUUUUUUUCAACUGGACCACCAGCUACUACAACCCUAGAAAAAUGGAGGCACAGAUAUGUGGGUCCCAGAGCCCUGGGGGAGCUGGAAUGGAUACUUGCUAACACACGGGACACGAGAUUCUCUUUCCUUUGGAAGGGUCCUGUCAUGGCCCUUCUUGGGUUCUGGACUGUCCUACAAUGUCUGACUUUAGUUUCUGUGGAUCAUGAUAAGCAUUAUUCAUUUUUUCCCCCUCAAAUAUCCCACAGCUUCAAACUUACCUGAAUGCAGGUUCCCUGUAAAAACACCAUCAUGUAAUUUGCACAUUAGCAAUCAGUUUGAUGAAUGGCAAAAUCGUUCAAAUGGAAAAGAGGAGAGAGAUAGUGUGGUCUUU
This 666-nucleotide non-coding RNA is filed under the name Pan troglodytes (chimpanzee). The record is from RNAcentral. Lineage: Eukaryota; Metazoa; Chordata; Mammalia; Primates; Hominidae.